GUGUUACGUCCAAAUGGGUGGAAAUGGCUAAAAUUAUUUCAUGUUCAACGUAGAUUCAUUGAUUUGUUUUUAUUUUACAUACCUCUGUAUAUGAUACCCAUGAAAAAAAUGAAAACAACACGUGAACAUAUAACAUAUCACACGACAGCCGCAUAACUAAUCAAUACCUGUGCAUGCAAUAUGCAUAUUAUGUUUUUAUCAUUUUAAAAUCGAGUGUUCCUGGUACUGUUGACGUCGUUUGCCAGAAUGAAGACCUUUGUAGUUCUUGUUGCAUUCUUACAACUUGCAAUAAUUGCAAGUCUAAGAAAACACAAACCGGUCAGUAUUACCUUGAAUGCAGGGAAAAACUUACCAGUUAGUGGCUUCCUAAUAGACAAUUCGAACUAGAUUAAAGAAGGGAAUUAUCAGUUAGACAAAAUAAAGGCAGUUUCGAAGCACAAUAGGGACAGCAUUUCUGCAAUUGAAUCCAGACUAACAGACCUCAGUAAGGCGGUAAAUGGUUUGCUUAAAACAACUGCACAACAGGCUGAUCCGGCAAGUGAUGGUUACAUUGGAUGUUACAAGGAUGACGGUAAUCGACAUCUCAAAUAUAAAAUAUCGGACUUGGGGAAUUCUAUAACCUUGGCUAAAUGCCGUGAACAUUGUAAAGGAUAUAAAUACACGGGCUUGCAGUAUCGCAUAUAUUGUCUUUGUGGAAAUGGACUAGCAAACAAACAGUAUCCAAGGGUACCAGAAUCAGAUUGUAACAUGGCUUGUGCUGGUGAAACGAAUCGAAUGUGUGGAGGUGGCUAUAGAAACUCGAUAUAUUUAGUCAAACCGUAAUCGCAAAGAGAAAUGCAGAAAAAACACAGAGAUCAGUAUCAAAAUAAAAUGAUAGUAUUUUAA
Molecule: long non-coding RNA, 885 nt
Organism: Mytilus californianus (California mussel)
Lineage: Eukaryota; Metazoa; Mollusca; Bivalvia; Mytilida; Mytilidae
Exons: 4
Source: RefSeq, a predicted model, not a curated record